Molecule: ribosomal RNA, 253 nt
Filed under: uncultured bacterium
Lineage: Bacteria
Description: partial 16S ribosomal RNA
Rfam family: Bacterial small subunit ribosomal RNA
Source: RNAcentral
UACGGAGGGGGCUAGCGUUGUUCGGAAUUACUGGGCGUAAAGCGCGCGUAGGCGGAUCUGCAAGUCGGGGGUGAAAUCCCGAGGCUCAACCUCGGAACUGCCUUCGAUACUGCGGGUCUCGAGUCCGGGAGAGGUGAGUGGAAUUCUCGGUGUAGCGGUGAAAUGCGUAGAUAUCGAGAGGAACACCUGCGGCGAAGGCGGGUUGCUGGGCUGAUACUGACGCUGAUGCGCGAAAGCCAGGGGAGCGAACGGG